GACGAACGCUGGCGGCGUGCUUAACACAUGCAAGUCGAACGGAAAGGCCCUGCUUUUGUGGGGUGCUCGAGUGGCGAACGGGUGAGUAACACGUGAGUAACCUGCCCUUGACUUUGGGAUAACUUCAGGAAACUGGGGCUAAUACCGGAUAGGAGCUCCUGCUGCAUGGUGGGGGUUGGAAAGUUUCGGCGGUUGGGGAUGGACUCGCGGCUUAUCAGCUUGUUGGUGGGGUAGUGGCUUACCAAGGCUUUGACGGGUAGCCGGCCUGAGAGGGUGACCGGCCAAAUUGGGACUGAGAUACGGCCCAGAACCCUACGGGAGGCAGCAGUGGGGAAUAUUGCACAAUGGGCGGAAGCCUGAUGCAGCAACGCCGCGUGCGGGAUGACGGCCUUCGGGUUGUAAACCGCUUUCGCCUGUGACGAAGCGUGAGUGACGGUAAUGGGUAAAGAAGCACCGGCUAACUACGUG
Molecule: ribosomal RNA, 468 nt
Filed under: uncultured bacterium
Lineage: Bacteria
Description: partial 16S ribosomal RNA
Rfam family: Bacterial small subunit ribosomal RNA
Source: RNAcentral